Molecule: long non-coding RNA, 1629 nt
Filed under: Jatropha curcas
Lineage: Eukaryota; Viridiplantae; Streptophyta; Magnoliopsida; Malpighiales; Euphorbiaceae
Description: long non-coding RNA (JCUR_LNC000236)
Source: RNAcentral
CACUUUUAGCAUUAAGAGCGAUUAUCUUAGAACAAUAUGUCCAUGAUCAUUCUUAUCAUUUUGGAUUGUAGGGUUGCACUGCAGUCAUAUCAUUUGAAAGAUGAAGUUGAUUUUCCUCCUCUGUCCUACAGAAAAGCGCUCAAAACAUGUUAGUAUUAUAGAAUAUGGUAAGCAGAACUUUUAGAUACUAACAACUAUGCAGGUUUAGAAGGACUUGCCUUUUGUUUUCUUCUCAUUUUGCUCGGAGCUUGAUGUGGUCCUGACAUAGAGAAGCACAUUUGUAAAUUCCUCUGGUCCAUCUUCCUCCUUUACAGUAGGAUAUGAGUGCAAGUUUGACAGCAAUCCUAAGCCUCUGGGGACUUUUUAAUUGAGACAAUUUAAUUUCUUUUUUUGAACACCAUUGUCCCUGUGGGGACAUAGCUUUAUUUCUUAAAUUGAAUAGUAGAAAUUCCAGAUAAAUUUAGUUUUUAUUCCUAAAAAAAGGAAAAAAAUGGGGAAAAUUUUAAAAGUUUAAAAUUAUACCAUAGUCCUUAAUGUUUACAUCUUAUUGCCUUUGCCGCACAAACAAUAAUUAAAUUAUGAAUUAACACAGAAAGUACGUAAAAUAGAUAGCAAUUUAAAUUUCAUUCAAGUGUUUGGUUGACAUAAUAAUGGAAAAAAUAAUAAUAAUAUUGAAGUAGAAAGAGAAAAGAAUACAAAGGCACAUACAUCUAAUAGGGAUUCAGAGGGAGGGUAAGAAUUCCUGUGACAGAACUUAUUACUUAUUCCACAGCAUAAUGGCUAUUGAUAGACACAAAAGGGUUAUGCUCACAUCAUGCAGGAUUGCAUUUGUAAUUAUGUUUGGGAGCAAUCUAUAAUUAUGUAAAUAAACCAAGUGUAUAAAAUCUUUAAUCUGCUAAUUGAUUUAUUAUGUAUUCGAUCUCAAUAUAAAAAUUAGCAUUAAGGCUGAAAAGUUUAUCUAAAUUUGCAAGUUGUCAUCGAAAAAAAUAAAUUAUAUAAUCAAAAGCUAUAGCAUUAUGCUUCAAUUGCAGAUUAUGGAAAAUAUUUUACAAAUUUUCCGGAAAAAGAAAAUCAUAGGAGGAAGAGAAAGCUUUUUAUAACUACAAUUACACACACAAAAAAAAAAAAAAAAAUCAUAAAGCUAGAAUGCAUGAAUUUUUUUAUCAACCUUCUUCCAAAAUCAUUUUAAAAAAAUAUUCGUAUAUUAAUAUUUUAAAAAUAACAAAUUAAAGAAAAAAUUUCUAUAAAUCCAAGAAAAACUAUCCUGAUUUAGAAACACGGUCACAAAAGGAUUCAAAAGAUGAUAAAUAGAUGAAAAAUUAGAAAAAAAAUUUAAGAAAAUAGAAAUAAGAUCAACACAAAUUGAUGAAAACAACAAACUGUACUGGAAUUUUACCAAUCUUGCUUGUCUUCUCUAUUUUAUCAAUCAACUGCGACUUGUACACAAAUGGCCUUGCGUGCGUCCUUCCUCGUCUCGAUUUGGCACCGCAUGAGUCCCUGACCAUCUGGAUUCAGCAAGAAUAGCUAGAGAAAAAAUAAAAAGAACAAGAGGGAGACAGAGAGCGAGAAAGAGAGAAAGAAUCAUGAAAAAGAUAAAAGAGAGAGAUGAGAGAAGAAGACGAAUAAAAG